RNAcentral lists this ribosomal RNA (355 nucleotides) under uncultured bacterium. RNAcentral describes it as "bacterial SSU rRNA". It matches the Rfam family "Bacterial small subunit ribosomal RNA", at positions 917 to 1264 of the family's 1533-position model. The record is from RNAcentral.
GGACCCGCACAAGUAGUGGAGCAUGUGGUUUAAUUCGAAGAUACGCGCAGAACCUUACCAACACUUGACAUGUUCGUCGCGACUCUGAGAGAUUAGAGUUUUCGGUUCGGCCGGACGAAACACAGGGUGCUCAUGGCUGUCGUCAGCUCGUGUCGUGAGAUGUUGGGGUUAAGUCCCGCAACGAGCGCAACCCCUCACUUUUUAGUUGCCAUCAUUUAGUUGGGCACUCUGAAAGAACUGCCAGUGAUAAGCUGGAGGAAGGUGGGGGAUGACGUCAAGUCCUAUGGCCCCUUACGUGUUGGGCUACACACGUGCUACAAUGGGUAUCUCAACAGGAAAGCAAGACGGCGACGUU